CCUACGGGUGGCAGCAGUGAGGAAUAUUGGUCAAUGGGCGCGAGCCUGAACCAGCCAAGUAGCGUGAAGGAUGAACGCCCUACGGGUUGUAACCUUCAUUUAUAAAGGAAUAAAGUGAGACACGUGUGCCUUUUUGUAUGUACUUUAUGAAUAAGGAUCGGCUAACUCCGUGUCAUCAGCCGCGGUAAUACGGAGGAUUCGAGCGUUGUCCGGAUUUAUUGGGUUUAAAGGGAGCGUAGAUGGGGUGUUAAGUCAGUUGUGAAAGUGUGGGGCUAAACCGUAAAAUUGCAAUUGAUACUGGCAGUCUUGAGUACAGUUGAGGUAGGCGGAAUUCGUGGUGUAGCGGUGAAAUGCUUAGAUAUCACGAAGAACUCCGAUUGCGAAGGCAGCUUACUAAACUGCCACUGACAUUGAUGCUCGAAAGUGUGGGUAUCAAACAGGAUUAGAUACCCGAGUAGUC
This 460-nucleotide ribosomal RNA is filed under the name uncultured bacterium. RNAcentral describes it as "partial 16S ribosomal RNA". It matches the Rfam family "Bacterial small subunit ribosomal RNA", at positions 338 to 795 of the family's 1533-position model. The record is from RNAcentral.